GUACGUUAAAACAGUAUCUGACAAUGCAGCAGCACAUAUUGCAUAAUAGCUUACGCCUCAACGUAAAUGCGCACACCGUACCAGGAAACGAAAAGUCGACUGCGGAUCUGCAAGGGAUAGGAUGGUAGUGGAUCAGAUGAUUAUAUAAAAGUAUAAUGUGCCCGUGUAACCAACAGAUGAUCGAGAUGACAGGAUGUGACAUCACCGGGUCCAAACGGCAGGACGGGCUGUCUAGGAUGUCCAGAACCCGUGCUGCUGGAGGAUGCUUCCACGCAGCGGGGUCCAGACAAGUGAUGCUCGCUGGAGGAUGCAGGAGUGAACCAGGCAGGCGAGACAGAGGCACAGGAGACUGAAAAAUCUCUAUUUCCUCUACUUCCUGGUUUGAGUAUGACCCCUCACCUGGCUUUUGACCCUUCAACUGGAUAUCACUCCUAAGAGUUGGCUUUGGGGCAGACUACUCCUGUUGAACCACAGGCCUUGUCCAGAGGAGAAUUGAAACAGGAAAAAGCAAUUACGGGAGAGAUUGUCCCACAGGCAUUGAAAGACUAUCAGCAUGAGGGUUUGGAUUGACUCAGGGACACCUAUGGCCCUUGCAUUAUCCUGGCAUGAGGUCGCUUUAGCAAUAGUCUGGCAAUUUCCGCCAGCACCUGGCUCCCCAGCCCCCACAUCCCCCUCUCACCAGGCCCUACCUGUCCCCCCUCCCUCUCUCCCUCCCUCUCCAAGCCUAACACACACCUUUCUCAUUGUGCUGCCAUAGUGGCAACUAAGACGAAAACAUGCAAGGACAAUAGUGUCCAGUAGACAUGGUAGACGUUAUUAGCAAUAGCACAGAUGUUUUUCCAUCAUAGCGUGGGUGAAGUAGGCGGCUCCCAGGUGAAAAUGGAUGUUGAAUACUGUGGGCUCGGUUGUAGCGAAGGGAACGUGUGAAGUCUGGAACGAGAUGGGAACAGUGAUAAUUCACUAAGAAACAAAACCUACAGACAAUGAAAUAAUAGCUGCUACUUCUUCACAGGGAAGAUGUAACCCUGGCCUUAUUGUUUGGGCCUAAGGCGCAGUGGGAGAAUCAAAUAUGGAGAUGUGGAGAGCAGAGAGUGGAUUGGAGAGGAAUGUUCCAGUGUUGUGUCAGCUGCAGACAUGAGGAGCAGAAGAUCUCACUACCCUAUCCAUUGAACAUAUGUUUUGGCCCUGUCGUCUAGUGCAAGCAUUAACACUUGUGUAAACUUACCCCUCCUUCUACUCCUCACCUACAGUCCUUAUACAGGUGCUCUGUUGGCUGUAGAGGCCAUGCACCCUAAGACCUCUCUCAUCCCAUGUUCUGACUCCCUGGUAUGUGUGGAGCUGAGGCACUGUUUUCUCAUUGAGGUAUUUCCCUUCUUAUUUACUGGCGCAAGGGGUCCGUUGCCCAGGGCAAGACUUUAGCCCCAACUGUGAUCAUAUGAUGUUGCCACUUUGUCUUGCUCUCUCUGGUCCACUGUCACCACCCAUGGCCCUGGAAGAGAAGAGGUGACCGAGCAGUGUGUCUGUUCACCUUUCCCUUCUCAAUCAGCCACUACUCACAGUGUUGUCUCUGUUGCGUCCCUUUUGGCUAGACCUCUCUCUCUCUCUCUCUCUCUCUCUCUCUCUCUCUCUCUCUCUCUCUCUCUCUCUCUCUCUGUGGCCUUAAUGUAUUUGCUUAUGGUCACGCUUCAGUGUAUACAUACUGUAUGGUGUGUUACUUAUGUUUUCCUGGAUAUUUAAAGUUCAAGUGGAACCUUUCUUGGUUGUGCAAUAGCAUUCUGUUAUUUUGAACAUUUCACUAACAUUAUAUGGUAUUAUAGAGGGGGGAAAUGAAAUCCAUGUAUAUCAUGAGUCUGAAAAGUUGACAUUAUCAUAAUGUCCCCUGAUAAGAGUCUUGGUGGUCAUACAAUUAAUUUGAUUUUAAGGAAAUAAUGAAAACACCCCUAAAUUGAUUAUCCAAGUGUGAUGUACAGUAAUUGGACUCAUAACUGAUUUGUGUAGGUGAAAUGGAGAGCAUUGUUUUCCCUAUGACAUUAUAUGAGUUAUGGACACGUGUUUUUAUUUUCUCACAUUAAACAUAUAAACAUAUUACCGCCUUGCAUGGAAACUGAAAACUGCACGAGAGCAGAAAUGGGGGAUAAUUUGACCAAAGUCCGACAUGAUUCUUAUAUUUUGGAUUUGUAGACAUUUGACGUAGGCUACCCUGUGUUAGACACAUUGGAGAGGUUUAACGAUCUUAAAGGAUGUUUGUUUUCAUAGAAGACGCCAUUUUAUUGCAUGUUGAACGAAUAGCUCAUCUGAUAAUGAAUGAUAACAGCAGACUGAUGUAGUUCAUCCUUUGUUCAUCACUUGCCAGUGGGGUAUUGGGGAGAUAACUAUCCAAGCCAUCCCACAAAUAUUUUAUGGUGAUUAGAUAUGCCG
This 2418-nucleotide long non-coding RNA is filed under the name Salmo salar (Atlantic salmon). Its description in RNAcentral is "lncRNA (ENSSSAG00000104781.1)". Lineage: Eukaryota; Metazoa; Chordata; Actinopteri; Salmoniformes; Salmonidae. The record is from RNAcentral.